GGGUUGUGAGGUUAAGCGACUAAGCGUACACGGUGGAUGCCCUGGCAGUCAGAGGCGAUGAAGGGCGUGCUAAUCUGCGAUAAGCGCCGGUAAGGUGAUAUGAACCGUUAUAACCGGCGAUACCCGAAUGGGGAAACCCAGUGUGACUCGUCACACUAUCAUUAACUGAAUCCAUAGGUUAAUGAGGCGAACCGGGGGAACUGAAACAUCUAAGUACCCCGAGGAAAAGAAAUCAACCGAGAUUCCCCCAGUAGCGGCGAGCGAACGGGGAGGAGCCCAGAGCCUGAAUCAGCAUGUGUGUUAGUGGAAGCGUCUGGAAAGGCGCGCGAUACAGGGUGACAGCCCCGUACACAAAAGCGCAUGUGCUGUGAGCUCGAUGAGUAGGGCGGGACACGUGGUAUCCUGUCUGAAUAUGGGGGGACCAUCCUCCAAGGCUAAAUACUCCUGACUGACCGAUAGUGAACCAGUACCGUGAGGGAAAGGCGAAAAGAACCCCGGCGAGGGGAGUGAAAAAGAACCUGAAACCGUGUACGUACAAGCAGUGGGAGCCCCACCACCAAAGCAUUUGCUGUACCGCGUUGACGGAGCGAAGCGACGUCAAACCGAUAAAACAGCAGUGUAAAGUGAGCCGCAGGGCGCUUUGCGCGACAGCGCAAAGGCAGGCGGUUUCGCGUAGCGAAAGCGAAUGCUUUGGGGUGGGGUGACUGCGUACCUUUUGUAUAAUGGGUCAGCGACUUAUAUUCUGUAGCAAGGUUAACCGAAUAGGGGAGCCGGAGGGAAACCGAGUCUUAAUUGGGCGUUAAGUUGCAGGGUAUAGACCCGAAACCCGGUGAUCUAGCCAUGGGCAGGUUGAAGGUUGGGUAACACUAACUGGAGGACCGAACCGACUAAUGUUGAAAAAUUAGCGGAUGACCUGUGGCUGGGGGUGAAAGGCCAAUCAAACCGGGAGAUAGCUGGUUCUCCCCGAAAGCUAUUUAGGUAGCGCCUCGUGAAUUCAUCUCCGGGGGUAGAGCACUGUUUCGGCUAGGGGGCCAUCCCGGCUUACCAACCCGAUGCAAACUGCGAAUACCGGAGAAUGUUAUCACGGGAGACACACGGCGGGUGCUAACGUCCGUCGUGAAGAGGGAAACAACCCAGACCGCCAGCUAAGGUCCCAAAGUCAUGGUUAAGUGGGAAACGAUGUGGGAAGGCCCAGACAGCCAGGAUGUUGGCUUAGAAGCAGCCAUCAUUUAAAGAAAGCGUAAUAGCUCACUGGUCGAGUCGGCCUGCGCGGAAGAUGUAACGGGGCUAAACCAUGCACCGAAGCUGCGGCAGCGACACUGUGUGUUGUUGGGUAGGGGAGCGUUCUGUAAGCCUGUGAAGGUGUGUCGUGAGGCAUGCUGGAGGUAUCAGAAGUGCGAAUGCUGACAUAAGUAACGAUAAAGCGGGUGAAAAGCCCGCUCGCCGGAAGACCAAGGGUUCCUGUCCAACGUUAAUCGGGGCAGGGUGAGUCGACCCCUAAGGCGAGGCCGAAAGGCGUAGUCGAUGGGAAACGGGUUAAUAUUCCCGUACUUGGUGUUACUGCGAAGGGGGGACGGAGAAGGCUAUGUUGGCCGGGCGACGGUUGUCCCGGUUUAAGCGUGUAGGUGUGUGUUCCAGGUAAAUCCGGUUCACUUUAACACUGAGGCGUGACGACGAGGCACUACGGUGCUGAAGCAACAAAUGCCCUGCUUCCAGGAAAAGCCUCUAAGCAUCAGGUAACAUCAAAUCGUACCCCAAACCGACACAGGUGGUCAGGUAGAGAAUACCAAGGCGCUUGAGAGAACUCGGGUGAAGGAACUAGGCAAAAUGGUGCCGUAACUUCGGGAGAAGGCACGCUGACACGUAGGUGAAGUGAUUUACUCAUGGAGCUGAAGUCAGUCGAAGAUACCAGCUGGCUGCAACUGUUUAUUAAAAACACAGCACUGUGCAAACACGAAAGUGGACGUAUACGGUGUGACGCCUGCCCGGUGCCGGAAGGUUAAUUGAUGGGGUCAGCGCAAGCGAAGCUCCUGAUCGAAGCCCCGGUAAACGGCGGCCGUAACUAUAACGGUCCUAAGGUAGCGAAAUUCCUUGUCGGGUAAGUUCCGACCUGCACGAAUGGCGUAAUGAUGGCCAGGCUGUCUCCACCCGAGACUCAGUGAAAUUGAACUCGCUGUGAAGAUGCAGUGUACCCGCGGCAAGACGGAAAGACCCCGUGAACCUUUACUAUAGCUUGACACUGAACAUUGAGCCUUGAUGUGUAGGAUAGGUGGGAGGCUUUGAAGUGUGGACGCCAGUCUGCAUGGAGCCGACCUUGAAAUACCACCCUUUAAUGUUUGAUGUUCUAACGUGGACCCGUUACCCGGGUUGCGGACAGUGUCUGGUGGGUAGUUUGACUGGGGCGGUCUCCUCCUAAAGAGUAACGGAGGAGCACGAAGGUUGGCUAAUCCUGGUCGGACAUCAGGAGGUUAGUGCAAUGGCAUAAGCCAGCUUGACUGCGAGCGUGACGGCGCGAGCAGGUGCGAAAGCAGGUCAUAGUGAUCCGGUGGUUCUGAAUGGAAGGGCCAUCGCUCAACGGAUAAAAGGUACUCCGGGGAUAACAGGCUGAUACCGCCCAAGAGUUCAUAUCGACGGCGGUGUUUGGCACCUCGAUGUCGGCUCAUCACAUCCUGGGGCUGAAGUAGGUCCCAAGGGUAUGGCUGUUCGCCAUUUAAAGUGGUACGCGAGCUGGGUUUAGAACGUCGUGAGACAGUUCGGUCCCUAUCUGCCGUGGGCGCUGGAGAACUGAGGGGGGCUGCUCCUAGUACGAGAGGACCGGAGUGGACGCAUCACUGGUGUUCGGGUUGUCAUGCCAAUGGCACUGCCCGGUAGCUAAAUGCGGAAGAGAUAAGUGCUGAAAGCAUCUAAGCACGAAACUUGCCCCGAGAUGAGUUCUCCCUGAGACUUAAAGUCUCCUGAAGGAACGUUGAAGACGACGACGUUGAUAGGCCGGGUGUGUAAGCGCAGCGAUGCGUUGAGCUAACCGGUACUAAUGAACCGUGAGGCUUAACCUUACAACGCCGAAG
RNAcentral lists this ribosomal RNA (3065 nucleotides) under Salmonella enterica subsp. enterica serovar Enteritidis. RNAcentral's name for it is "23S ribosomal RNA". It matches the Rfam family "Bacterial large subunit ribosomal RNA". The record is from RNAcentral. RNAcentral also lists the same sequence under 1 other name. Lineage: Bacteria; Pseudomonadati; Pseudomonadota; Gammaproteobacteria; Enterobacterales; Enterobacteriaceae.